AUACUUACCUUGUUGAGAGGAAGCCAGCUCAAGAAUUGGCUUCCUCAGCAUGGAGGGCCUGCAUUGCACAUCGCGGAGUCACUCUUUGCUCUAUUGUCCUUCGGGGCCAUAGUCGGCGGAAUUUUUGAUUUAAACCCACUUUUCAUUGUGCUG
Molecule: small nuclear RNA, 153 nt
Filed under: Fusarium oxysporum f. sp. lycopersici 4287
Lineage: Eukaryota; Fungi; Ascomycota; Sordariomycetes; Hypocreales; Nectriaceae
Description: Fusarium oxysporum f. sp. lycopersici U1 spliceosomal RNA
Rfam family: U1 spliceosomal RNA
About the family: U1 is a small nuclear RNA (snRNA) component of the spliceosome (involved in pre-mRNA splicing). Its 5' end forms complementary base pairs with the 5' splice junction, thus defining the 5' donor site of an intron.
Source: RNAcentral